UACGGGGGGGGCAAGCGUUGUUCGGAAUUACUGGGCGUAAAGGGCGCGUAGGCGGUGCUCUAAGUCGGAUGUGAAAACUCUGGGCUCAACCCAGAGCCUGCAUCCGAAACUGGAGUGCUAGAGUUCUGGAGGGGGUAGCGGAAUUCCUGGUGUAGCGGUGAAAUGCGUAGAUAUCCGGAGGAACACCGAAGGCGAAGGCAGUCUCCUGGCAAGUUACUGACGCUCAGGUGCGAAAGCUAGGGGAGCGAACAGG
RNAcentral lists this ribosomal RNA (253 nucleotides) under uncultured bacterium. Its description in RNAcentral is "partial 16S ribosomal RNA". It matches the Rfam family "Bacterial small subunit ribosomal RNA", at positions 524 to 776 of the family's 1533-position model. The record is from RNAcentral.